UACCAGGGUUCCAUCAGUAACGGCGAGUGAAGCUGGAAUAGUCCGAACUUUAAAAGAGUAGAAUCUCUAAUGUAGUUCUAAGAUAUAUUGGUACCGGGCAGCCUUCCAUCUAAGUUGACACGGACUUGUCCGACAGAGAGGGUGAAAUUCCCGUAUAGAUUGGAUAGACAGUUCUCAUACUAAUAUAUCUGAGAGUCGAGUUGCUUGGGAUUGCAGCUUUAAGGUGGAGGUAAAUUCCUUCAAAGACUAAAUAUUGUUGGAUGACCGAUAGCGAACAAGUACCGUGAGGGAAAGUUGAAAAGGACUCCGGAAGGAGGAUCAAAAGAGCGUGAAAUUGUACAGAGGGAAACGCUUGGACGCUCCGUAUACCCAGGUGUUAGUCUCUCAAGUUUUACUGGGAUCAAGAUUACAUUUGGAGUAGCCAAUCGCUAUUAGAUUUAAUGCGUGUUGUGAGUUGGAACUAUCAUGGUUUAAUGAGUUUAAUGUUUGCGCAAGCUUCUUUACACCACCAUGGGCAGUUAGUUCCCACGUAUAAGUCGGCAGUAGAGUUUUGUUAUUAGUCUUUAGGAGGUCGAAAGUUGCAAGCAGCGGUACAGAGUUGCAAAAUUCCCGUACUUAGCUACCUUCUAAUGAAGACCUGAGACUCCAAUAAAGCAUCUUAACUAUAAUAUGGCUGAGCAGCGGUCAAGCGACCCGUCUUGAAACACGGACCAAGGAGUCUAACAUGUUAGCAAGUCUUAGGGCCUAGUAACCCCUCAGGCGUAAUGAAAGUGAUUUGAGAUCCGACUCCGACGCGAUUGGNAAGCAGGAUUAGCCAAACUCAUAAACAGUAGUUGUUGAGUUUGCGCAAGAGCAAAUAUGUUGGGACCCGAAAGAUGGUGAACUAUGCCUGAAUAGGGUGAAGCCAGGGGAAACCCUGGUGGAGGCCCGUAGCGAUUCUGACGUGCAAAUCGAUCGUCAAAUU
Molecule: ribosomal RNA, 964 nt
Filed under: Batkoa gigantea
Lineage: Eukaryota; Fungi; Entomophthoromycota; Entomophthoromycetes; Entomophthorales; Batkoaceae
Description: eukaryotic LSU rRNA
Rfam family: Eukaryotic large subunit ribosomal RNA
Source: RNAcentral